UACGAAGGGUGCAAGCGUUAAUCGGAAUUACUGGGCGUAAAGCGUGCGUAGGCGGUUUCUUAAGUCUGCUGUGAAAGCCCUGGGCUCAACCUGGGAAUGGCGGUGGAUACUGAGAAGCUGGAGUACGGUAGAGGAAGGUGGAAUUCCCGGUGUAGCGGUGAAAUGCGUAGAGAUGUGGAGGAACACCAGUGGCGAAGGCGACUCUUUGGCCUGUAACUGACGCUGAGGCGCGAAAGCGUGGGGAGCAAACAGG
This 253-nucleotide ribosomal RNA is filed under the name uncultured bacterium. Its description in RNAcentral is "partial 16S ribosomal RNA". It matches the Rfam family "Bacterial small subunit ribosomal RNA", at positions 524 to 776 of the family's 1533-position model. The record is from RNAcentral.